CUACGGGAGGCACCAGUGGGGAAUAUUGCACAAUGGGCGCAAGCCUGAUGCAGCCAUGCCGCGUGUAUGAAGAAGGCCUUCGGGUUGUAAAGUACUUUCAGCGGGGAGGAAGGGAGUAAAGUUAAUACCUUUGCUCAUUGACGUUACCCGCAGAAGAAGCACCGGCUAACUCCGUGCCAGCAGCCGCGGUAAUACGGAGGGUGCAAGCGUUAAUCGGAAUUACUGGGCGUAAAGCGCACGCAGGCGGUUUGUUAAGUCAGAUGUGAAAUCCCCGGGCUCAACCUGGGAACUGCAUCUGAUACUGGCAAGCUGGAGUCUCGUAGAGGGGGGUAGAAUUCCAGGUGUAGCGGUGAAAUGCGUAGAGAUCUGGAGGAAUACUGGUGGCGAAGGCGGCCCCCUGGACGAAGACUGACGCUCAGGUGCGAAAGCGUGGGGAGCAAACAGGAUUAGAUACCCUAGUAGUC
This 464-nucleotide ribosomal RNA is filed under the name uncultured bacterium. RNAcentral's name for it is "partial 16S ribosomal RNA". It matches the Rfam family "Bacterial small subunit ribosomal RNA", at positions 339 to 795 of the family's 1533-position model. The record is from RNAcentral.